GUCAAGGUUUCGACAGGGGUCUUGCAGCUGGAGAAGCUAUCCGCAGGCGAUGCGUCAAAUCGCGAAAAUAAAUAUAAACGCUGACGAAAAAUUAGCAUUUGCUGCCUAAGGGCAGCUGUCUGACUUAGUGCACCUACACAUUAAGACCCAGGCAUCAACGAUGUAGGAAACGACAUGGGUUAAGCUUUGCCCCCAUGGGCGUAAUAUGAAGCUACUGAAACCUGAAGAGCGUCUGCCCCCGUCAGGUAGAGGGAAUGGUGAGCAAUCACAGAUUGGCUGACUAUGAUAGUAGAAGGACAGGGAAUGGGCUUUUGGACGCGGGUUCGACUCCCGCCUGGUCCAC
RNAcentral lists this transfer-messenger RNA (343 nucleotides) under human gut metagenome. It matches the Rfam family "transfer-messenger RNA". From Rfam's summary of the family: Bacterial tmRNA, also known as 10Sa RNA or SsrA, is named for its dual tRNA and mRNA-like properties. Its role is to liberate the mRNA from a stalled ribosome. The record is from RNAcentral.